RNAcentral lists this long non-coding RNA (915 nucleotides) under Macaca mulatta (Rhesus monkey). RNAcentral's name for it is "lncRNA (ENSMMUG00000057983.1)". The record is from RNAcentral. Lineage: Eukaryota; Metazoa; Chordata; Mammalia; Primates; Cercopithecidae.
UGUUGGUUUAAGACUGAGAAUUAUUUGUUGUUUCCAGCCUUGGCUGACCAGAACCAAAUUGAAGUCAAGAUUCUGCUACCUGCCUUGUGCUGUUCAGUAGCCACUUCCUCGCUCCAUGGCCUAACGUGUGGUCUUGAGAGAUUUUCCUGUCUACAAAGUAACCUCAACAUAAUCUCAGAAAAAGAAUCCUCUCUGAAGGAAGUGGGACAUGUCCCUAGGGAGACUGUCAAUGCAGAGCCAACGCUUGUUCCCAACUUCUGUGGUUUCUCUUCUGUCAAGUAAAUACGGUCUCAUGAGUCUCCAGAUCAUAGCAACUGCAACCAUUUUUCUGUGGAAAGGGCUCUGCGAAGUUCCUAAGCAUGGUCUUCUUUAAGCCUCGACAUGACCCUGUGAUACAGGUAGUGGAUUCUGUUACAUCCGUUGCAAAGAUGAGAAGCUGAGAAUUAGAGAGAUUACAGAGGUCACAGAGAGCAAGUGGAGGGGAGCAGGACUCUUUCUGCUGCAUCUUUUGGCCCAUCGCAUCCUGCGCUGUCCAGGUGAGAGCACUCCACAGGUGAGGGGCAUUUGAAUGGAGGUGGCAGGGUUACCCUGCAGAGGUCAGAAAAGCUGAAAACCAUCUCAGUCAGAAGUUCCAGGACUUGAUGGAGUCAGGGAGCCAGAACAAAUGCUCAGUCAUCUCUAGGAGGAACGAUGAGCUGGAAUGCCAGUGAGGUCUGAGAGAUGGUCUUCGGGGGAAGUUGCCUAGUCUUUGUAUGGGACCUCCAGCUUUCACACAGCCUCAGGGAAGGAUCUUAUAAAAACUGCAAGCUAAGCACAGGCUUAGAAAGACAUGUGGGCACUGGUAGUUGAGUGAGGAGAAAUUCUCCACUUUGCUUCUCUGGGACUUGUUUUGAAUGAGUAAAUGGAAAUUUGGCA